RNAcentral lists this transfer RNA (73 nucleotides) under Chlamydiota bacterium. RNAcentral describes it as "Chlamydiae bacterium (freshwater metagenome) tRNA-Phe". It matches the Rfam family "tRNA". From Rfam's summary of the family: Transfer RNA (tRNA) molecules are approximately 80 nucleotides in length. Their secondary structure includes four short double-helical elements and three loops (D, anti-codon, and T loops). Lineage: Bacteria; Pseudomonadati; Chlamydiota. The record is from RNAcentral.
GGCUGGAUAGCUCAGAUGGUAGAGCAGAGGACUGAAAAUCCUUGUGUCGCUGGUUCGAUUCCAGUUCCAGCCA